UGGGGAAUAUUGGGCAAUGGGCGCAAGCCUGACCCAGCAACGCCGCGUGAAGGAAGAAGCUUUCGGGUUGUAAACUUCUUUUCUGAGGGACGAAGAAAGUGACGGUACCUCAGGAAUAAGCCACUGCUAACUACGUGCC
This 139-nucleotide ribosomal RNA is filed under the name uncultured bacterium. RNAcentral describes it as "partial 16S ribosomal RNA". It matches the Rfam family "Bacterial small subunit ribosomal RNA", at positions 355 to 509 of the family's 1533-position model. The record is from RNAcentral.